GACGAACGCUGGCGGCGUGCUUAACACAUGCAAGUCGAACGGAAAGGCCUGCUUUCCCUUGUGGAUUGCGGGUACUCGAGUGGCGAACGGGUGAGUAACACGUGAGUGAUCUGCCCCCAACUUGGGUAUAAGCCUGGGAAACUGGGUCUAAUUCCCGAUAGGACUGCAGGGUGGUGCCUGUGGUGGAAAACGAUUUUCUAGUGGUUGGGGAUGAGCUCGCGGCCUAUCAGCUUGUUGGUGGGGUAAUGGCCUACCAAGGCGGCGACGGGUAGCCGGCCUGAGAGGGUGGACGGCCACAUUGGGACUGAGAUACGGCCCAGACUCCUACGGGAGGCAGCAGUGGGGAGUAUGGCACAAUGGGCGGAAGCCUGAUGCAGCGACGCCGCGUGGGGGAUGACGGCCUUCGGGUUGUAAACUCCUUUCGACCGCGAGGAAGCCACCUGGUUGGAAGGGUGGUGACGGUAGUGGUAGAAGAAGCACCGGCUAACUACGUG
This 494-nucleotide ribosomal RNA is filed under the name uncultured bacterium. RNAcentral's name for it is "partial 16S ribosomal RNA". It matches the Rfam family "Bacterial small subunit ribosomal RNA", at positions 28 to 507 of the family's 1533-position model. The record is from RNAcentral.